RNAcentral lists this ribosomal RNA (414 nucleotides) under Salmonella enterica. RNAcentral describes it as "bacterial SSU rRNA". It matches the Rfam family "Bacterial small subunit ribosomal RNA", at positions 1 to 411 of the family's 1533-position model. Lineage: Bacteria; Pseudomonadati; Pseudomonadota; Gammaproteobacteria; Enterobacterales; Enterobacteriaceae. RNAcentral also lists the same sequence under 4 other names. The record is from RNAcentral.
AAAUUGAAGAGUUUGAUCAUGGCUCAGAUUGAACGCUGGCGGCAGGCCUAACACAUGCAAGUCGAACGGUAACAGGAAGCAGCUUGCUGCUUCGCUGACGAGUGGCGGACGGGUGAGUAAUGUCUGGGAAACUGCCUGAUGGAGGGGGAUAACUACUGGAAACGGUGGCUAAUACCGCAUAACGUCGCAAGACCAAAGAGGGGGACCUUCGGGCCUCUUGCCAUCAGAUGUGCCCAGAUGGGAUUAGCUAGUUGGUGAGGUAACGGCUCACCAAGGCGACGAUCCCUAGCUGGUCUGAGAGGAUGACCAGCCACACUGGAACUGAGACACGGUCCAGACUCCUACGGGAGGCAGCAGUGGGGAAUAUUGCACAAUGGGCGCAAGCCUGAUGCAGCCAUGCCGCGUGUAUGAAGA